This 1626-nucleotide ribosomal RNA is filed under the name Triticum aestivum (bread wheat). RNAcentral's name for it is "partial small subunit ribosomal RNA". Lineage: Eukaryota; Viridiplantae; Streptophyta; Magnoliopsida; Poales; Poaceae. The record is from RNAcentral.
AUGGCCGCCGGCGCGUGGCCGGCGGCCGCCGCGGCGGUGGCGCGCGCGGCGGCGCGCACGCUCGGGCGCCUCGUCCCCCGCACCCACACCCACUCCACCGCCGCCACCACCACCUCCUCCCCCUCCUCCUCCCCGGCGCACACCCUGGACGACUACAACCGCCUGCUGGCGGCCCUGGCGCGGGACGGGGACGGCGAGUCGGCGCUGCGCGUGCUCCGCCGCAUGCGCCACGGCUCGCCCGCGGCCUGCGCGCCCACAGCCGCCUCCUACGUCUCCGCCAUGUCGGCGCUCGCCAAGGCCGGCCGCGCCGCCGACGCCACGGCGCUCUUCGACGACAUGCUCGCGCACGGCGUGGCGCCCGACCGCCGCGCCUACUCGCUCCUCCUCCACGUCUACUCCACCCACCUCGGCCUCCCCGCCGCCGGCCUCUCCGUGCUGCACUGGAUGGCCGGCCUCGGCGUCCGCCCCAGCGCCGUCGACUACGCAGACCUCAUCUUCUCCUUCUGCCGCGCGGGCCAGCUCCCGGACGCGCUCCAGCUGCUCGACGAAAUGCGCGAGCUCGGCUACCCGCUCCCCCCGCACGUCUACUCGCCGAUACUCCAGGCCCACUGCGACGCCGCCGACAUCCCGGCCGCCGAGGCGCUCAUCGCCUUCAUGCGCGCCUCCGGGGGCCGCUCCGGGUGCAACCCCGACGUCCUCAUCUACAACAUCUACAUCCACGGGCUGUGCAGGGUCGGGGAUUUCCACGCCGUGCAGAGGGUCAUCAACGACAGCGUCUGGAACUGGUGGGUGCCGGACGCGGUGACCUACAGCACCUACGUUGCCGGGCUCUGCCGGGCUGGGUACAUCGAGGACGCGUUCAGGCAGCUGGACAUCAUGGUCGCCAAGGGGCUACAGCUCACCGUGAUCGGCCUCAACAUACUGCUGGAUUACGCCGCCAAGGAUGUAGACAUGUGGGUUGCCAAGGUGGUGAUGGAGCGCUGCGAAGAGCUGGGCUUCGAGGUCGACGUCGUGACGUACAACACGGUCAUGGAACAUUUCUCCAAGAAGAUGCAGUGGCUGAUUGCCCUCAGGCUGUUCACCGAUCUGCUCAAGAAGCCCAUAACACCCGAUGUGCAGACGUACAACAUCUUGAUCUCAUCCCUGUGCCGAGCCGGCAAGUUUGAGCUCGCCAAGUUCGUCUUCAGUUGCAACGGGUUUGUGGCGGACACUGUGACCUGUAACAUUCUGAUCCAUCAGUUCUACUGUGCUGGAAAGGAGGGCGAGCUCGGGUUCUUGUUCUCUGAUGUUGACGCAGGGAAGAUUACCCCAGAUACAAUCACAUACAACACGCUGGUCGAUUGCCUCUUUAGGUCUGGGAGGAGGACUGAGGCUGCCAAUCUGGUCAGGCACAUCGACGGCGGCUACCCUGCGGAGCCUGUAGCGCAUCUGGCUUUCUGGUUGGUUACGAGCGGAAAUGUUCGAGAGGCUUUGAGUCUGUUUGAUGACAUGCUAGUGAAAGGAGUCGCUUUAGAUGCUAUCGUUUUCGCCAAUGUGAUCAAGGCAUUCUGCAGAAAGGGUCCAGGGGAGUGCACAGAUAUGACACAGCUGUGCUCUGUGCUGGAUAGGAUGCUUGGGAUUGGAUGA